Molecule: long non-coding RNA, 877 nt
Organism: Zeugodacus cucurbitae (melon fly)
Lineage: Eukaryota; Metazoa; Arthropoda; Insecta; Diptera; Tephritidae
Exons: 3
Source: RefSeq, a predicted model, not a curated record
GUUUCACGGCGCACACGAUGCAAAACAUCCUCAGACAUGUCAUCUCUAUACUUAACCUACAAAUCUUUUGGAUUCGAGGGGAAACAUGUUGAUAUGAUAAUGGCAAACAGUGUACGAAUUUGAUGCGGCGAUGACAAUAUUACGGAAUCCUUAGCGUAUCAUCCAAGUGCGAAUCGUUCUCAAGUAAAUGUAAUAAUUGGCAUGCCUCACGAUGGAUCCAUAAUCAAAAAGCAUAUCAUCAUAUCAUUUUGACGUAUGGAGAUUAUGCCCAAAGACCGCAUUAGAGGGCACAUUGAGAGAGGAGAGAAUAUCUAAGACAUCGCUUCAAUUAAUAUUUGCGUGGUGUGGUUGUGGGAAUCCUUUACAGACCCGGCGACACGUUUUUGUGGCUAAGGUAUACAUUAAAUUAAGUUGGUCCAAUCUUGGCUUCGGCGACGAUAUUGAUUACUCGAGGUUGAUUUAUGUUACGCAGCAUGAUUACAACUCACACUACUUUUAAUUGCAAAAUACAGGCAAUUUUAAAUAGUUUGGGAUAAUUGACUAUGUCAUCCUGGUUAGUAGCUGUGUCAACUCUCUUGGACCGAAAUUCUAAAUUGGCGCUUGAAGAUCGUCGAUAUUUUUUUUACCACCAAUAUAGGUCAUUAAUCAGUCAUUUAUGGUUAUCAUAUUGAGGUUUCAUGUCAGGAAAACUUCUCUUUCGAGUCAAUGAAGUGAAAGAAAUCUGUUGGAAAUGCUAUUAAUCCAUCGAGGUGUCAACUGCCAACUAUUUUUACAAUCGCAAUUUGGUAUUCAAAAAUUUCAAAAUUUUUAACUCGUGAUAUCUUUUGAAUGGUAUGUCAGAAUCUAAUAAUUCAAAAAGUUAUAUAAAGGUUUUGAA